GACGAACGCUGGCGGCGUGCUUAACACAUGCAAGUCGAACGGAAAGGCCCUGCUUUUGUGCGGUGCUCGAGUUGCGACCGGGUGAGUAACACGUGAGUAACCUGCCCUUGACUUUGGGAUAACUUCAGGAAACUUGGUCUAAUACCGGCUAGGAGCUCCUGCUUCAUGGUGGGGGUUGGAAAGUUUCGGCGGUUGGGGAUUGACUCGCGGCUUAUCAGCUUGUUGGUGGGGUAGUGGCUUACCAAGGCUUUGACGGGUAGCCGGCCUGAGAGGGUGACCGGCCACAUUGGGACUGAGAUACGGCCCAGACUCCUACGGGAGGCAGCAGGGGGGAAUAUUGCACAAUGGGCGGAAGCCUGAUGCAGCAACGCCGCGUGCGGGAUGACGGCCUUCGGGUUGUAAACCGCUUUCGCCUGUGACGAAGCGUGAGUGACGGUAAUGGGUAAAGAAGCACCGGCUAACUACGUG
RNAcentral lists this ribosomal RNA (468 nucleotides) under uncultured bacterium. Its description in RNAcentral is "partial 16S ribosomal RNA". It matches the Rfam family "Bacterial small subunit ribosomal RNA", at positions 28 to 507 of the family's 1533-position model. The record is from RNAcentral.